GAGGGAACCGACCCCUCGAUAUCGGUAUUCAGGUACUGGUAUCAAACCACUUCAAGCUGCUGUUGUAAAGAGCAAUGGUAGUGAGCGUUGAUGAAAGCUGGAACAUAAUCCAGCAAGG
This is a non-coding RNA of Lentisphaerae bacterium GWF2_38_69, 118 nucleotides long. The record is from Rfam. NCBI's taxonomy places the organism in Bacteria, Pseudomonadati, Lentisphaerota.